UACGGGGGGGGCAAGCGUUGUUCGGAAUUACUGGGCGUAAAGGGCGCGUAGGCGGCCAACUAAGUCAGACGUGAAAUCCCUCGGCUCAACCGGGGAACUGCGUCUGAUACUGGAUGGCUUGAAUUCGGGAGAGGGAUGCGGAAUUCCAGGUGUAGCGGUGAAAUGCGUAGAUAUCUGGAGGAACACCGGUGGCGAAGGCGGCAUCCUGGACCGAGAUUGACGCUGAGGCGCGAAAGCCAGGGGAGCAAACGGG
RNAcentral lists this ribosomal RNA (253 nucleotides) under uncultured bacterium. RNAcentral describes it as "partial 16S ribosomal RNA". It matches the Rfam family "Bacterial small subunit ribosomal RNA", at positions 524 to 776 of the family's 1533-position model. The record is from RNAcentral.